UCCGGUUGAUCCUGGCAGAGGUUACUGCUAUCGAGGUUCGACUAAGCCAUGCGAGUCGAAUGUAGCAAUACAUGGCGAACUGCUCAGUAACACGUGGACAACCUGCCCUUAGGACGGGGAUAAACCCGGGAAACUGGGUAUAAUACCCGAUAGGUCUCGAUUGCUGGAAUGCAUCGAGAUUUAAAGCUCCGGCGCCUAAGGAUGGGUCUGCGGCCUAUCAGGUAGUAGUGGGUGUAGCGUACCUACUAGCCUACGACGGGUACGGGUUGUGAGAGCAAGAGCCCGGAGAUGGAUUCUGAGACACGAAUCCAGGCCCUACGGGGUGCAGCAGGCGCGAAAACUUUACAAUGCUGGCAACAGCGAUAAGGGAACCUCGAGUGCCAGGUUACAAAUCUGGCUGUCGAGAUGCCUAAAAAGCAUUUCAUAGCAAGGGCCGGGCAAGACCGGUGCCAGCCGCCGCGGUAACACCGGCGGCUCGAGUGGUAACCGUUAUUAUUGGGUCUAAAGGGUCUGUAGCCGGCCGGAUAAGUCUCUUGAGAAAUCUGGCAGCUUAACUGUCAGGCUUUCAGGAGAUACUGUCUGGCUCGAGGCCGGGAGAGGUGAGAGGUACUUCAGGGGUAGGGGUGAAAUCUUGUAAUCCUUGAAGGACCACCAGUGGCGAAGGCGUCUCACCAGAACGGACCUGACGGCAAGGGACGAAAGCUAGGGGCACGAACCGGAUUAGAUACCCGGGUAGUCCUAGCCGUAAACGAUACUCGCUAGGUGUCGGCCACGGUGCGACCGUUGUCGGUGCCGUAGGGAAGCCGUGAAGCGAGCCACCUGGGAAGUACGGCCGCAAGGCUGAACUUAAAGGAAUUGGCGGGGGAGCACCACAACGGGUGGAGCUUGCGGUUUAAUUGGAUUCAACGCCCGGAAAUCUUACCGGGACCGACAG
RNAcentral lists this ribosomal RNA (934 nucleotides) under uncultured methanogenic archaeon. RNAcentral's name for it is "bacterial SSU rRNA". It matches the Rfam family "Archaeal small subunit ribosomal RNA", at positions 1 to 942 of the family's 1478-position model. The record is from RNAcentral. Lineage: Archaea; Methanobacteriati; Methanobacteriota.